GACGAACGCUGGCGGCGUGCUUAACACAUGCAAGUCGAGCGGUAAGGCCCUUUCGGGGGUACACGAGCGGCGAACGGGUGAGUAACACGUGGGUGACCUGCCCUCAGCUCUGGGAUAAGCCUGGGAAACCGGGUCUAAUACUGGAUAUGACUCCAUGACGCAUGUUGUGGGGUGGAAAGCCUUGUGCGGCUGAGGAUGGGCCCGCGGCCUAUCAGCUUGUUGGUGGGGUGANGGCCUACCAAGGCGACGACGGGUAGCCGGUCUGAGAGGACGACCAGCCACACUGGGACUGAGACACGGCCCAGACUCCUACGGGAGGCAGCAGUGGGGAAUAUUGGACAAUGGGCGCAAGCCUGAUCCAGCGAUGCCGCGUGUGUGAAGAAGGCCU
RNAcentral lists this ribosomal RNA (388 nucleotides) under uncultured bacterium. RNAcentral describes it as "bacterial SSU rRNA". It matches the Rfam family "Bacterial small subunit ribosomal RNA", at positions 28 to 417 of the family's 1533-position model. The record is from RNAcentral.